GAUGAACGCUGGCGGCGUGCCUAAUACAUGCAAGUCGAGCGAACAGAUGAGGAGCUUGCUCCUCUGACGUUAGCGGCGGACGGGUGAGUAACACGUGGAUAACCUACCUAUAAGACUGGGAUAACUUCGGGAAACCGGAGCUAAUACCGGAUAAUAUAUUGAACCGCAUGGUUCAAUAGUGAAAGACGGUUUUGCUGUCACUUAUAGAUGGAUCCGCGCCGCAUUAGCUAGUUGGUAAGGUAACGGCUUACCAAGGCAACGAUGCGUAGCCGACCUGAGAGGGUGAUCGGCCACACGUGAACUGAGACACGGUCCAGACUCCUACGGGAGGCAGCAGUAGGGAAUCUUCCGCAAUGGGCGAAAGCCUGACGGAGCAACGCCGCGUGAGUGAUGAAGGUCUUCGGAUCGUAAAACUCUGUUAUUAGGGAAGAACAAAUGUGUAAGUAACUAUGCACGUCUUGACGGUACCUAAUCAGAAAGCCACGGCUAACUACGUG
Molecule: ribosomal RNA, 497 nt
Filed under: uncultured bacterium
Lineage: Bacteria
Description: partial 16S ribosomal RNA
Rfam family: Bacterial small subunit ribosomal RNA
Source: RNAcentral